This 407-nucleotide ribosomal RNA is filed under the name uncultured Gammaproteobacteria bacterium. RNAcentral describes it as "bacterial SSU rRNA". It matches the Rfam family "Bacterial small subunit ribosomal RNA", at positions 97 to 499 of the family's 1533-position model. Lineage: Bacteria; Pseudomonadati; Pseudomonadota; Gammaproteobacteria. The record is from RNAcentral.
GGCGGACGGGUGAGUAACGCGUGAGAAUCUACCUAGUAGAAGGGGAUAGCCCGGGGAAACUCGGAUUAAUACCGUAUACCUCCUUUGGGAGAAAGAGGGCCCCUCUUUGAAGCUUUCGCUACUAGAUGAGCCUGCGUAAGAUUAGCUUGUUGGUGAGGUAACUGCUCACCAAGGCUACGAUCUUUAGCUGGUCUGAGAGGACGAUCAGCCACAUUGGGACUGAGACACGGCCCAGACUCCUACGGGAGGCAGCAGUGGGGAAUAUUGGACAAUGGGCGCAAGCCUGAUCCAGCCAUACCGCGUGUGUGAAGAAGGCCUUCGGGUUGUAAAGCACUUUAAGCAGGGAGAAAAAGUUGUAAGUUAAUACCUUACAACCGUGAUGUUACCUGCAGAAUAAGCACCGGCUA